UGGUUCUCGCAUCGAUGAAGAACGCAGCGAAACGCGAUAGGUAAUGUGAAUUGCAGAAUUCAGUGAAUCAUCGAAUCUUUGAACGCACAUUGCGCCUCCUGGUAUUCCGGGGGGCAUGUCUGUUUGAGCGUCAGUACCCACUCCGGACACAGGUCUUUGCUGACCGACGGCCGGGUCUUGAGGCACACUCUGCCUCCAACGUAGUACGCUCGCGAACUCCGACCUCAACCGAUGACGUAGUAAUACUCUUCUCGUCAUAAACGGGUAGGAAGGGGCCGCCUGGAACAUCAAACUCUGUAGUUUGACCUCAGAUCAGACAAGGAUACCCGCUGA
This 333-nucleotide unclassified non-coding RNA is filed under the name uncultured fungus. RNAcentral describes it as "partial contains 5.8S ribosomal RNA and internal transcribed spacer 2". The stretch from base 1 to 133 matches the Rfam family "5.8S ribosomal RNA", at positions 22 to 154 of the family's 154-position model. Lineage: Eukaryota; Fungi. The record is from RNAcentral.